UUAACUGAUUUAACAUCAAUUUACUUGUAAGCUCAGAUCAAUGAAAACAAAGCUUAAUGUUUUUUACUUUUUAAAAUAUUGUUUAAGGUUUGAGGCUGGAGCUAGUGGUUGAUUGGGUUUAUUUAUCCACCUUUACCGUGGUUUAACAUUAAAGUGGCUGCAAAAAAACAUGUUCCAACAGGCAGACGUGCAUCUUUCAAGUGUCAUCUUCUCUCUGUAACUGCUACUUGUUGUAUAUGAUACUGUUUUUCCUCUAAAAGUCAAUUUACCUUGUCAUCCUUUUGUAAUCUCUCCUCUCAGGCACCUCAAAACUAAGGCAAACAGAAGAAAAGAGUAUGCUCCUGAGAUAUCGGGGCUGUUCCCCUCCCUUAAGGAUCCAUAUACCAAGGGAGGCUAUAAACAUUUCUAUGAUGCUGCAAGCAGCACAGGAUGCAUUUCUUGGCAUCUGAAAACAGUCAAGACGAGGAUCAGCAUCCCCAUCUUGCACUGGCUGUUUGGAGGAACAUUUCCACAACCAGCCUGAUCGGCAGCCAUACCUCCUCACUGAUGGGCGUCACAAGAGCAAGACUGACAACUUCUACAUCAACCAUCUCAUCCCAUGCCAAGCAAAAUUCAUACAAUAUUUAAGAUAAGUACAGUAUACCUUAAUUCACAAUGUUUUAAUUAUCUGUAUAAAUGACUGUGAGUUUGAAAAGUGAAA
This is a long non-coding RNA of Plectropomus leopardus (leopard coralgrouper), 700 nucleotides long. RefSeq lists it as uncharacterized. The record is from RefSeq and is a predicted model, not a curated record. NCBI's taxonomy places the organism in Eukaryota, Metazoa, Chordata, Actinopteri, Perciformes, Serranidae.